UAAAAGGUCCAGCCUGCCCAGUGAUAACAUUUAACGGCCGCGGUAAUCUGACCGUGCGAAGGUAGCAUAAUCACUUGUUCUUUAAAUGAGGACUAGUAUCAACGGCACCACGAGAGUUACACUGUCUCCUUUCUCCAAUCAGUGAAACUGAUCUUCCCGUGAAAAAGCGGGAAUUAAAAUAUAAGACGAGAAGACCCCAUGGAGCUUUAAACCCAACUUCACCCCCUGCACCUAAAACCACUUAAAUCAGGAGACCUGUAUGCUUGGUUUUAGGUUGGGGUGACCAUGGAGCACAACAUAACCUCCUUGAUAAAAGAAAUUUUUCUUAUCUAUGAGUAACUUCUCUAAGAAUUAGCACUCUAAUAUAAAAUGAUCCGAUAAUCGAUCAACGAACCAAGUUACCCUGGGGAUAACAGCGCAAUCUACUUCAAGAGCCCCUAUCGACAAGUAGGUUUACGACCUCGAUGUUGGAUCAGGGUAUCCUAGUGGUGCAGCAGCUUCUAAUGGUUCGUUUGUUCAACGAUUAAAACCCU
Molecule: ribosomal RNA, 533 nt
Filed under: Wakea madinika
Lineage: Eukaryota; Metazoa; Chordata; Amphibia; Anura; Mantellidae
Description: partial 16S ribosomal RNA
Rfam family: Bacterial large subunit ribosomal RNA
Source: RNAcentral